CACGUAGGUAGCUACCCUUUAGCGGGGGAUAGCCCGCCGAAAGACGGAGUAAUCCCGCAUAAUCCCCGCCUUUGGUGGGGGAAAGAGCUUGACUGCUCACUAAAGGAGGCGCCUGCGGCCUAUCAGCUUGUUGGUAGGGCAAUGGCCUACCAAGGCAAAGACGGGUAGGGGGCGUGAGAGCGUGGCCCCCCAGAAUGGGACUGAGACACGGCCCAUACACCUACGGGUGGCAGCAACUGGGAAUCUUGCGCUAUGGGCGAAAGCCUGACGCAGCGACACCGCGUGAAGGAUGAAGGCCUUCGGGUUGUAAACUUCUGUUAAAUAGCACCGGCUAACUACGUG
This 342-nucleotide ribosomal RNA is filed under the name uncultured bacterium. Its description in RNAcentral is "bacterial SSU rRNA". It matches the Rfam family "Bacterial small subunit ribosomal RNA", at positions 114 to 507 of the family's 1533-position model. The record is from RNAcentral.